Long non-coding RNA from Paramisgurnus dabryanus, 2294 nucleotides. RefSeq lists it as uncharacterized. The record is from RefSeq and is a predicted model, not a curated record. Lineage: Eukaryota; Metazoa; Chordata; Actinopteri; Cypriniformes; Cobitidae.
UUAGAGUCUUAAUAAUCGAAUUAAAUUAAAACAAAACAUUAACAACAUUACAACAAUAUUUAAACACAACAAUACUCAAACAUAAAUAUAAAACAGACAUUCUCUAUUAGGAUACAUGUUAAAAACCAUCUGAUAUAGCGUUUAUAAUAGCUGCACUUACUAUUUUGGGCAAAACCUCCGUUGCAAACCUGAAUAAAAAUGAAUCACUUUCACUUUGAAAAUGAUGCGCUGUUACAUUAAAACCAGCUCUUAGUCAUUUAAAAUUUAACUCAAUUAUGGCUUAGAAUUCUCCUAUUUCAUGUUUAUUUAGGAAAUACUAUUUUUAAAUCCGCCUAUUAAGUUAUUGUCCGUCUUAAAAAUGCAAUAGUUGUCAGCAGUCGCUAUGCUAAUAUUGUAUUAACACAAAUAUUUUUCAUUUUUCAUGAAACAUACAGUUUGGGAUCAGCAUGAAGGCUUUUUAGUGGCAUGUGAGAUCUUACCUUGAAAUGUCAAACUGGGCUGUCGACUAUUUGAGGUAACUUUGCAUAGCAAACCCACCAAACUGAUCCCAAACCAAAAUGUUGCCUACUCACCCAUAUCCAUACCCGCACAAUCAAAUUAAAAACCACCAGAACCGCCAAAUAUAUAAUUGCAUCGUCAUGCUUGCACGCUGUUUUUUUUUUUUUAAAGUGUCUCACUUUUACUUAACACAAAGUCAUUCACAGAAGUUUUAUAUUAAUUUACUUUACAUUUUACUACAGUGUUAAUAUUUAAACGUGUACAAUAAAAAAAUGGAAAAGUUAUGACGGUGGGGCCCCCUAGCGUACUUAUGGGCCCAUAUGCCUGGCAUACUCUGAACCCCCCCUAACGGCGCCCCUGAGUAGAAUAUGUAUGCAGUGGAUGCACAGCGAGUUUAUGAUCUUGUUUUUAUUGUGUUUGUGUGUGUUAUGGUAGAGAAAUUUUGAGUGUUUUAUCUUACAGAUUAGUAUAAAUGUUUUAUAUGGUAUGCUUUUAAUGUGUUUUUUGGUUAAGGUCUACAUGAAUUAAGUUUUAAGUUGUCUCUCUGUUGCUUGCAUAUGAAUGUGUUGUUCCACAGCUGGGCCUGGAGGAGAUGAGGGUGUCCAUGGUAAGGAUAGCAAAAUUGUUGUAUGAUGUGUUAGAGAACAAAGACACUGUUUUUACCACGAGUGUGAGGAUUUAUGUAUGUCUUGAAGGGUACAGAGAUAAAGCCACAGCAUCACCAAGUUGUUAUGAGAAGGAGCUAAGGGGCCUAAAGGCAGGAGUCUGCUGAGCAUUGGGAUAGUACAGAGUGAAAGAAAGGCAGGGCUACUGGACCACUAUAUAAUAUACUGAAAAACUCAGAACGGGGUCAUUAUAAUUUUACCAGGUGUACACCCUAUGACCAGUAUUGUUUCAAGCUGUCGGACACAAUUCUUUAAUAAAAUACUUUGAAGAGAAUUUUACAUCUCAACCGUCUCUGAUUCUCCUGAAAAAAAUUACGACAGUGUGUGUCUGUUAGAGCUGCUGUGCAGAGUGGCUUAUAUACAUUCUCUCUUAAUAUUUGCAGAUGGAGAAUAGUUGUGCAUGGUGGUGUUGAUGGGUUUUCACGGCUCAUUGUUUACCUGACUGCAGCAACAAACAACAGAGCCCAAACUGUUCUGGAAAGUUUCCUGUCAGCUGUGGAGCAGUAUGGCGUCCCCUCAAGAGUCAGAUCAGAUAAGGGAGGGGAAAACGUUCUGGUGGCACGCUUCAUGGUGACUAAUUGUGGAAUCAACAGGAAGAAGUGUACACAAUCAAAGGAUUGAGCGACUAUGGAGAGAUGUUUUUGAAAAUGUCCUUGAUCUAUUCUACAGCACUUUCCUUCGUCUGGAAGCUGAGGGGUGGCUUAAUCCAGACAAGGAGACAGACCUCUAUGCUUUACAUAGAUGUUACAUGCCACACAUCCAGUCACAUCUGCAACAAUUUCAGAGAGCAUGGAACAACCAUUCCUUAAGAUCUGCAAGAAACCAGUCCCCUCUUCAGCUGUGGUCAAGCAAAGAAAGAGAUAGACACACACUACACAUUUCUCAGACAGAUGAUGACAACAGAUGGUGGAGAGGCCCACAACGACCUUCAGUUCAAAUUCCUGAGCUACACCUUCCCAGAGCCCUGUCUGUGGUAGAACUUUCCACACUGCCAAAUCCAACUGUACCAUUGGCAGAGAUGCUACCAGUGUACAUUGAGACUGUACGGAUUCUUCGAGAAAUGCUGGAUCAUUAAAGAACGGAUGAACAUUGACUGUAUAUAUAACUGAUGUAUCAAAUUCCAAAGACAAU